RNAcentral lists this ribosomal RNA (253 nucleotides) under uncultured bacterium. RNAcentral describes it as "partial 16S ribosomal RNA". It matches the Rfam family "Bacterial small subunit ribosomal RNA", at positions 524 to 776 of the family's 1533-position model. The record is from RNAcentral.
GACGAACCGUCCUAACGUUGUUCGGAAUCACUGGGCUUAAAGGGCGCGUAGGCGGCUUGCCAAGUCAGGGGUGAAAUCCUGCAGCUUAACUGUAGAAGGGCCUUUGAUACUGGCGAGCUCGAGGGAGGUAGGGGUAUGUGGAACUUCCGGUGGAGCGGUGAAAUGCGUAGAUAUCAGGAGGAACACCUGUGGCGAAAGCGGCUCACUGGACCACAACUGACGCUGAUGCACGAAAGCUAGGGGAGCAAACAGG